AUGCGCACGGGUAUGGCACCGCCGCCGCCGUCACCCGCGGCCGGUCGGCCUCUCCAGCCAUCCGUCGCCCUGUUCUCCAUCCCCUCCCCGUCAGUCCCCGAUCACACACGAGCACGGGAUCUCUGUGAUGCGCACGGGAACGGCACCGUCGCCGCCGCCACGUGCGACCGGUCGUCCUCUCCGGCCAUCCGUCGCUACCAAGCGCGGCCGGUAGUCCUCUCCGGCCAUUCGCCGCCUUGUCCGCCACCCCCUCCCCAUGCGUCCCCAAUCAGCCUCCUCGAUCUCCAACCUCAUGUUGUCGUCCUUCUCUGA
Molecule: ribosomal RNA, 312 nt
Filed under: Triticum aestivum (bread wheat)
Lineage: Eukaryota; Viridiplantae; Streptophyta; Magnoliopsida; Poales; Poaceae
Description: partial small subunit ribosomal RNA
Source: RNAcentral